UACGGGGGGAGCAAACGUUGUUCGGAAUUACUGGGCGUAAAGGGCGCGUAGGCGGUCUUCUAAGUCUUGUGUGAAAUCCCUCGGCUCAACUGAGGAACUGCACGGGAUACUGGAAGACUUGAGUUCGGGAGAGGGAAGCGGAAUUCCGGGUGUAGCGGUGAAAUGCGUAGAUAUCCGGAGGAACACCGGUGGCGAAGGCGGCUUCCUGGACCGAUCACUGACGCUGAGGCGCGAAAGCUAGGGGAGCAAACGGG
RNAcentral lists this ribosomal RNA (254 nucleotides) under uncultured bacterium. Its description in RNAcentral is "partial 16S ribosomal RNA". It matches the Rfam family "Bacterial small subunit ribosomal RNA", at positions 524 to 776 of the family's 1533-position model. The record is from RNAcentral.